AAUUAAAAUAAAAUAAAAUAAAAUAAAAUAAAAUAAAAUAAAAUAAAAUAAAAUAAAAUAAAUAAAAGGGAAAGGUGUCAUUUUAAAGAUUUUUGCAUCCCACAGGUCAUCUCUGCAGAGGAAGCUUCUUCCAGCCGUGGACAUACCUGCCGCCACUCACCUUCCAACACGACAAUUCUGCGACACCAGCAGGACACCACAGAUAAUGAAGACACAGCAUGUACAAAACUGGAAAGUUUUCGAUCUAUAGAUGCUGGGAACCUGGGAAUAUUUGUCAAAGAUUUAAUUACUGCUUUGCCCUAUUCAAAAC
RNAcentral lists this long non-coding RNA (310 nucleotides) under Canis lupus dingo (dingo). Its description in RNAcentral is "lncRNA (ENSCAFG00020000469.1)". Lineage: Eukaryota; Metazoa; Chordata; Mammalia; Carnivora; Canidae. The record is from RNAcentral.